UAGCAUGUUUCCAAGUGCUGCUUGUAGCCAUGGGAUCUGCAACUGCAUGGCAGAGUAAUGGAGAUUCUGACAGCCCAGGUCAUCACAGUGCCUGCAGCUGCCACUCAGCUUUCCAAUAUGU
Apodemus sylvaticus (European woodmouse) is the source of this 121-nucleotide small nucleolar RNA. RefSeq annotates it as small nucleolar RNA SNORA44. The record is from RefSeq and is a predicted model, not a curated record. The transcript has a single exon. NCBI's taxonomy places the organism in Eukaryota, Metazoa, Chordata, Mammalia, Rodentia, Muridae.